GACGAACGCUGGCGGCGUGCUUAACACAUGCAAGUCGAGCGGUAAGGGCCCUUUCGGGGGUACACGAGCGGCGAACGGGUGAGUAACACGUGGGUGACCUGCCCUCAGCUCUGGGAUAAGCCUGGGAAACCGGUCUAAUACCGGAUAUGACUCCAUGACGCAUGUUGGUGGGGUGGAAAGCCUUGUGCGGCUGAGGAUGGGCCCGCGGCCUAGUCAGGCCUUGGUUGGUAGGGGU
RNAcentral lists this ribosomal RNA (235 nucleotides) under uncultured bacterium. Its description in RNAcentral is "partial 16S ribosomal RNA". It matches the Rfam family "Bacterial small subunit ribosomal RNA", at positions 28 to 264 of the family's 1533-position model. The record is from RNAcentral.